UCCCGGCCGAGGCUGCACGGAAGGCUGCGGCGUGGACUCGCCUUCGGGGAGGCACGGAGAGCGACGCCGCACACGGCCGCGGAGGGGAGAGCGAGGCCCCCAACAGUCCCCAAGAAUUCUCCGACUUCCAGGGAAAAAGGAAUACUGGGAGAUGGAAGAAAAGACACCCUUCAGGGACCCCCAGCUCCGACUGACUCUGCCUCCGCUACGUUUCCUGGCCUCCGCUAGUUUGGUUUAAGAGCCAGGAGAGUCCUGCUUCUACACUUUUCCUUCUAUGGAAGUGUCCAGGCCAUGAGAAGACCUUCUUCUGGAUAGUGAGGUGGAGUUUUAAAAAACUGUGUUUUUCAACUCUGGCAGUGGAGUCUUUGGCAACCAUGUGGUUCCUAGCGAAGGAGAGGAAGAGAAACGUCGAGCCAGGGUGGCCUCGAACUUGCAGAAAUCCUCUAGCCUCAGCCUCCUCCACGCUGGGAUUACAGACCUACAUUACCAAGCCCGACCGGUCCUUCAGUAUUUACAGCUGGUGAAUAGCUGAAAAUAACCACGAACAUUUCAAAUCC
Fukomys damarensis (Damara mole-rat) is the source of this 557-nucleotide long non-coding RNA. RefSeq lists it as uncharacterized. The record is from RefSeq and is a predicted model, not a curated record. NCBI's taxonomy places the organism in Eukaryota, Metazoa, Chordata, Mammalia, Rodentia, Bathyergidae. The transcript has 3 exons.